This 497-nucleotide ribosomal RNA is filed under the name uncultured bacterium. RNAcentral describes it as "partial 16S ribosomal RNA". It matches the Rfam family "Bacterial small subunit ribosomal RNA", at positions 28 to 507 of the family's 1533-position model. The record is from RNAcentral.
GAUGAACGCUGGCGGCGUGCCUAAUACAUGCAAGUCGAGCGAACGGACGAUAAGCUUUCUUCUCUGAUGUUAGCGGCGGACGGGUGAGUAACACGUGGAUAACCUACCUAUAAGACUGGGAUAACUUCGGGAAACCGGAGCUAAUACUGGAUAAUAUUUUGUACCGCAUGGUUCAAAAGUGAAAGACGGUCUUGCUGUCACUUAUAGAUGGAUCCGCGCUGCAUUAGCUAGUUGGUAAGGUAACGGCUUACCAAGGCAACGAUGCAUAGCCGACCUGAGAGGAUGAUCGGCCACACUGGAACUGAGACACGGUCCAGACUCCUACGGGAGGCAGCAGUAGGGAAUAUUCCGCAAUGGGCGAAAGCCUGACGGAGCAACGCCGCGUGAGUGAUGAAGGUCUUCGGAUCGUAAAACUCUGUUAUUAGGGAAGAACAUAUGUGUAAGUAACUGUGCACAUCUUGACGGUACCUAAUCAGAAAGCCACGGCUAACUACGUG